UUUUAAGUCGAAAGGCGACAGAUGGGAGCUUGCUCCUCGGAUGUUAGCGGCGGACGGGUGAGUAACACGUGGGUAACCUGCCUGUAAGACUGGGAUAACUCCGGGAAACCGGAGCUAAUACCGGAUAGUUCCUUGAACCGCAUGGUUCAAGGAUGAAAGACGGUUUCGGCUGUCACUUACAGAUGGACCCGCGGCGCAUUAGCUAGUUGGUGGGGUAAUGGCUCACCAAGGCGACGAUGCGUAGCCGACCUGAGAGGGUGAUCGGCCACACUGGGACUGAGACACGGCCCAGACUCCUACGGGAGGCAGCAGUAGGGAAUCUUCCGCAAUGGACGAAAGUCUGACGGAGCAACGCCGCGUGAGUGAUGAAGGUUUUCGGAUCGUAAAGCUCUGUUGUUAGGGAAGAACAAGUGCGAGAGUAACUGCUCGCACCUUGACGGUACCUAACCAGAAAGCCACGGCUAACUACGUGCCAGCAGCCGCGGUAAUACGUAGGUGGCAAGCGUUGUCCGGAAUUAUUGGGCGUAAAGGGCUCGCAGGCGGUUUCUUAAGUCUGAUGUGAAAGCCCCCGGCUCAACCGGGGAGGGUCAUGGGAAAAACUGGAAA
RNAcentral lists this ribosomal RNA (606 nucleotides) under Bacillus amyloliquefaciens. RNAcentral describes it as "bacterial SSU rRNA". It matches the Rfam family "Bacterial small subunit ribosomal RNA", at positions 55 to 639 of the family's 1533-position model. Lineage: Bacteria; Bacillati; Bacillota; Bacilli; Caryophanales; Bacillaceae. The record is from RNAcentral.